AUUGAACGCUGGCGGCAUGCCUUACACAUGCAAGUCGAACGGCAGCACGGGUGCUUGCACCUGGUGGCGAGUGGCGAACGGGUGAGUAAUACAUCGGAACGUACCUUAUCGUGGGGGAUAACGCAGCGAAAGCUGUGCUAAUACCGCAUACGCCCUGAGGGGGAAAGCGGGGGAUCGAAAGACCUCGCGCGAUUAGAGCGGCCGAUGCCUGAUUAGCUUGUUGGUGGGGUAAAAGCCCACCAAGGCGACGAUCAGUAGCUGGUCUGAGAGGACGAUCAGCCACACUGGGACUGAGACACGGCCCAGACUCCUACGGGAGGCAGCAGUGGGGAAUUUUGGACAAUGGGGGCAACCCUGAUCCAGCAAUGCCGCGUGAGUGAAGAAGGCCUUCGGGUUGUAAAGCUCUUUUGUCAGGGAAGAAACACCGGCUCUAACACAGUCCGGGAAUGACGGUACCUGAAGAAUAAGCACCGGCUAACUACGUGCCAGCCGCCGCCGUAA
This 501-nucleotide ribosomal RNA is filed under the name uncultured bacterium. RNAcentral describes it as "partial 16S ribosomal RNA". It matches the Rfam family "Bacterial small subunit ribosomal RNA", at positions 29 to 523 of the family's 1533-position model. The record is from RNAcentral.